RNAcentral lists this long non-coding RNA (3812 nucleotides) under Triticum aestivum (bread wheat). RNAcentral describes it as "long non-coding RNA (TAES_LNC010769)". The record is from RNAcentral. Lineage: Eukaryota; Viridiplantae; Streptophyta; Magnoliopsida; Poales; Poaceae.
GAGGCAUAUGCUCAUAGAGUUUAUAUCCAUAAAUGACACAACAUAUAUUAUUAUAUCUCAAUCAUGGCAGUACAUGAAGCAGGCAUCAACAUGGCAUCCACCAUGAUAUCUUUUAUUGGAGCAACGAAAGAAAAUACACACAAGCACAUAAACAAACUGACACGCUGGUUUGGAUACUCUCGAUGGGAUCCUGUUUUAUUGAACUCGAUGGUGAGACAUAACUUUGGCCUGUGAAAUCUCAGACCAAGCAUAUGCAUUAUUAGUCAUCAAGGGAUGCCAAGAGAGUAUCCCCCUUACAGAAACUGUCACAAGCAUCACCGCAGCGUUUCACAUAGAGCUUCAUCUCUUCAGUGUUGUCAGCUGGUGCCAAAACAGGAUAGUAUGCGUCAAGAACUAACUUUUCAAUUAGUUUACAUGUACAAAUGAAACAUAAAUAUACUCAGAUGGAUUCUAUUUACCUGUGCUGAUCACGUUGUCACACACAGAAGACCUGCAUCCCAAGCUGCAAUACUCAAUGGCGUUUGGUUCAUCUGCCAAAACGAAGUAGAUCUGAGAUAAACAAUUCCUCGGUUACAAUAUGUCGAUGUUUUGUGUAUUGGGAUGGCCUCUAUCAUUCAUUCUCUAUUAGCUAUUUUCACAAUAAUUUUUGGUAGAUGUUUGUUAGCAUUAUGAAAAAUCAUUCAUGUCAAAUCUUAUCAUACAAAACAUCAGCUAACAAAUUCAGAACAGUUUAUUACAGUAUAUUAAUAGGUAAACUUGGAAUUUUGUUAAUUUGACAUUACACAUUUUUAGGAUCACAUCUACUUUGAAAAGGAGAAAGUAUAUAAAUUAGAAGUAGCGAGUUGUCUGUCUUUACCGGAGCUGCGUAGAGAGGCCAAGCCCGCGGGGAGUCGACAAGCACAGAAGUCUGCGCACUGGAACACUGUACUAGGACCGAGAAGGCAAGAAUUGAAGCAGGCCACUUUGAAGGGGUUUGCGCCGCAGUCCACGCCCUCUACUUGCACCUGCUCCAGGACCAGCCCCAGCACGAGUAGGCACACGAUCGCACUCUCCAGACCCUUUUUGCCUCCUCCCAUGGCUAUGGCUGCCGGGCUCUCUUGCAGAAGGCACGAGUACUAAUGGGGGCUUUUGGUUGAAGGACUGAUGAGAUUAGAGUGAGCUCGAUGGGCUCCUGGUAUCGAUUUUUAUACUAGGAGAUGAUGGCCGUGGGAGUGUCUAGAUGAGUACUGGUUGUUGCACGUGAAAAACCAAAGCGCACCGGGGCCAUAGUUUCUUUUCUUCUCCCACACGGGGCAAAAAGUUGGAUCGAUGGCGCGCGGACAAAGUUGGCCGGAGCCGACGACGACGACGGUGACGGUGUUGUGACCUGCACGAAGCUAUCCAGUAGGAUGUUACAUGCAAGCCGGCGAGUUUUUUUUUACUACAUUUCUAUAAAAAUAUACUCGUAUAUACGAUGAAAUGCGUUUUUGACGUGAGCUACACAAACAAAAUAAAGUAAUGUAUUUUGGCACAAGCACAUUUUGUUUAGAUUUUCUUUUGAAACUUUAAAAAUCCGAUUUCACUCUAGCAGGUCCUAUUUUGUUGCAGCAUGCAACUAUGGGGCGGGGUUUGGACAAAAUACAAUUUUUGUCAAAAUGACAUGUGUGCCUGGGAAUAGAGGGGGAGUGCCCGAAAGUGCCUUUCUGCUCCCGAGCUCAUUUGAGCUCGGUGAACAGUAAAAUCGAAAAAAAAAUUCAAAAAAUUCCAUUUUUUUUGUGAGAAGCAUUGACAAAAGUUCUAAGUGCUUGCAAAAAUUCAUCAUGAAAUCACAUUCCUGUAAGGCGUGGCAAAAAAAAAACAAAUUCAGUGCUCCAAAAUGCUUUUGAAAGUAGCAUUUUCAGAGUACCGAUUUUGUUUUUUUUGGCACGCCUUCUAGAAAUGUGAUUUCAUGACGAUUUUUUGCAAACUCUUAAAACUUUUGUCAAUGUUCUCCCAAAAAAAUAUUUGGAUUUUUUUGAACUUUUUUUAUUUAGUUUUGAUUUUACUGUUCACCCGAGCUCAUUUGAGCUCGGGUGCAGAAACUCUGCGUCCGGGAGUGUCGUAUUAUAUGCCAACGAAAUACCUUUUCUUUUUUGUUGGGAACGAUACGUGCAUGCCAGAAAGACAUCUCUUUGCUGUACACAUGUGCAUGACUUUGAGGUUUGAGCUGGCGAUGUAUAUCAAACAACGUGUGACCAAUGUCACCUUGGUUUUUCAUGUGCAAGAUUUGUAGAUUGCUGAUCACGCUUGCCGCGGGAAGUUUUUCGUGUGUAGAUACAUGGCUCUAUAUGACAUCUAAACUAGAGCUUUGUUUUUUCCCCUAUACUACUCCUAUCUUUAACUUUAAGAGAAAAAUAUACUUUUCAUCUCUUAACUCUUGACAAAGUCUAGAUUUAGUCCUUUAACUUUAAAACCAGAUUAGUUGCAUUAUAAACUUUUAAAACCGGUAAUACUAUUUUUUACAAAGAACAAUCCUACCUUGUUUACACGUCCACUGAAUGCACCAUUGUAAAUUACUUUCACUUUUACAAGCAAGGCAGGAGCUCUAUCGAUUUCAUUAAGAGAGAACUAAUUCAGAGUUGACCGGUUUAAAAGAAAAACAAGGCUGAAAACCAACAUGAACCAACACCGACACCAACACAAACAUGCCACCACCACCUUACAUGACCACAAUCUGGAGCGAUAGUAAGCAAGAUUUUCGAUGACGACUUCAAGAAGGAAAAACAAUGCCCGAGAACGCCGUCCUCACCGGCAUCAACCCCCAUCAAUCAAUAAGCUUUCGCAUAGACCCCUGCAUGACCGCCCCGCCAAAAAUUGGGAUAGAUCAAUCCUAGCCAUUAGGUUCCGAUGCCACUCCUCGCCGACCAGUCACAGAUUAGCGUGAAGAAGUACUCUUCGACAAUAUAGGAGGAGGACGCCCAUGGGCACCAACAUCACGGGCAACGACCCCCGACCAAGAACAAGGCUUUCGCCCAGAGUAUUAUGCCUCCCCGCCUCUUAUCCAAGGUAGGGGCCAGGCCCCUGCGAACAUCAACAACGGCGAACCAAACCAAAAGGAAAAAGAAACGCCGCGGCCUCCACAACACCAUGGAGGGCUGCCUGCAUAGGUGUUGGCACCACCACCACCAUUACUACGAGUAGUCUUGAAGCCACAAUGCAGCAACCGCCUCGCCUCCGCGCUGUCGACGAAUGCCAACCUCGCCGCCAACUAACGAUCUAGCCUGCUGCCCGUGCAGCCGCGACCAAAGCACACCAACGACGCCCACCACCAACACCAGUGUGCUACCACUCGCCACGCGCCGCACUGCCGCACCCAUCGCCGCUUCUACGCCGUCCGGUAGAGGAAAAAGUGCAGCUGUGCCGUCACCGACCCCAAGAGGUCACCUCCAAAGACGGAGCAGCAGAUCAGGCGCUGCCCCGAUCUGAGCCCUUUGAGCCGGCGCGCGAGCAACCACCGCCACGCAGCACUGGGGUCUCCCAGACAGAGUUUAUACCCACAGGCAAAUGAUACAACAUACACCAUUAUAUCUCAGUCAUGGUAGUGCAUCAGGGCAGCAACAUGGCAUCCAUCAUGAUGGCUUUUAUUUCGAACAAGGAAUGGACAUACACACACAUAAAACAGGGUGACACACUGGUUUGGAUACUCUCGAUGGGAUCCAAUUUUAUUGAACGCAAAGGUGAGACACGACCUUGCCCUGUGAAAUCUCAGACCAUGGACACGCAUCAGUACGCAUCAAGGGAUGGGAGGCCAGCAUCACCGUUACAGAAACUGACACAAGCAUCAGCACAAUUUU